UUCUGAGAAGAUUGUGACGUCCAGGCCCCGCGUGCUGAUGCACUGUGGACGUCACCUUGCCUGAUUGGACAGUUUGCCAGCCUUGAGUGCACGGAAUGUCACAAAGCACGGAGCCAAUCAGCGUCCCCCAUAGCAAGGACCCCUAACUUCAAGUUGUCCUGGAUGGGAACAGCGAGAGACAGACAUGGGUUCAGGUCUGAAAUGGCCGCCCCUGGGCUCCGCCUCCCCGCGGCUGGAGGGCUCUCACCUCUGAGCUCCUGCUACCCACUGGCCUCGCCCUGGGUCCCCGUCCUUCUCCCUGCGGAUGCUGCCUGGAGCUGGCGGUAACCUGUUGCAGAGAGGAGGUACAGUAAUUCUGCAAUACCAGCAUCCAUCUGUCAUAUGCAAUUUCACAUGAGAAAAUACUAAGAAGAAGGCCCUGCAGACUUAACCAAGUAGUUCAGCGGCAAAGUGGGGAGUUGAAGUGAAGAAUUCAAACCAAGAAUGCUUUAAGGUAAGAAUGAAAAAGAAAGAAAAGAAAGCUUCUCCACUUCUCCUGCCUGCAAGGAUAGACAUAUGUCUGCCUGCCAGUGGGGUCCCUCAGCUAGUUCCAAGCCACCAGUGAACUCUGCUCUGCAGAUCUGCAGCUGUGCGUUGAGGUUGGGGGUGCUUGAUGGAAGGGGUAUAGGGAUAGAAUACAUUG
Molecule: non-coding RNA, 682 nt
Organism: Oryctolagus cuniculus (rabbit)
Lineage: Eukaryota; Metazoa; Chordata; Mammalia; Lagomorpha; Leporidae
Source: RefSeq, a predicted model, not a curated record